GACGAACGCUGGCGGCGUGCUUAACACAUGCAAGUCGAACGGAAAGGCCCUGCUUUUGUGGGGUGCUCGAGUGGCGAACGGGUGAGUAACACGUGAGUAACCUGCCCUUGACUUUGGGAUAACUUCAGGAAACUGGGGCUAAUACCGGAUAGGAGCUCCUGCUGCAUGGUGGGGGUUGGAAAGUUUCGGCGGUUGGGGAUGGACUCGCGGCUUAUCAGCUUGUUGGUGGGGUAGUGGCUUACCAAGGCUUUGACGGGUAGCCGGCCUGAGAGGGUGACCGGCCACAUUGGGCCUGAGGUACGGACCAGAGUGCUACGUGGGGCAGCAGUGGGAAAUAUUGCACAACGGGCGGAAGCGUGAUGCAAAGACGCCGCGGGCGGGAUGACGGCCUUCGGGUUGUAAACCGCUUUCGCCUGUGACGAAGCGUGAGUGACGGUAAUGGAUAAAGAAGCACCGGCUAACUACGUG
Molecule: ribosomal RNA, 468 nt
Filed under: uncultured bacterium
Lineage: Bacteria
Description: partial 16S ribosomal RNA
Rfam family: Bacterial small subunit ribosomal RNA
Source: RNAcentral